This is a long non-coding RNA of Xenia sp. Carnegie-2017, 1555 nucleotides long. RefSeq lists it as uncharacterized. Lineage: Eukaryota; Metazoa; Cnidaria; Anthozoa; Malacalcyonacea; Xeniidae. The record is from RefSeq and is a predicted model, not a curated record. The transcript is spliced from 2 exons.
ACAGUGGCGACUAAACGACAAAAACAAAUAUUUUGUUGUUUCUCGGUUUCGUCUUCACUAAAUCAGUUUGUGACGGUAUUGGAGCUUAAAGAAGAGCGACUAAGAACAGACGACAUCUCUAUCAUCCAAUAUUAGCCUAAUUCCUUCUGUGCCAAGAUUAUUUGACUGAAUUUCCAACUUCCAAGUUGACAAACCGUUACACGAGGUGAAAUGUGUAAACAAUGAUAUCGUCCAAUAUUAAAAUAAAGUAAGCGUAUUCCUAUGUCGGUAAAGAUUAUUUGGCUGGAUUUAUGAGAAGAAACUAACAGAACCGUGCAAUGUGUAUGAAAUGUCAUAACAGAUGCUGUUGUCCAAUACAAAAACAUUUAGCUUAAUUCUAUCUGCCUUAUGAAUCAUUUGGCUAGACAUCCAAGAAGACACUAAAGGAGUUGUACAAAAUACAUAAAAUCCAACCUCAACCGUUUUGCCAGCGACUAAACGACAAAAAUAAAUAUUAUGUUGUUUUUCGGUUUCGUCUUCACUAAAUCAGUUUGUGACGGUAUUGGAGCUUAAAGAAGAGCGACUAAGAACAGACGACAUCUCUAUCAUCCAAUAUUAGCCUAAUUCCUUCUGUGCCAAGAUUAUUUGACUGAAUUUCCAACUUCCAAGUUGACAAUAGAAGGCCAUACAAUAUAGAUGAAAUGUGUAAACAAUGAUAUCGUCCAAUAUUAAAAUAAAAAAAUUUCAACGAGCAUUCGUGACAGAAACUUCCAUCAGACCAUGGCGGUUCAGCACACAGCAGGUCUAAAUUAAAUAAAUAAUUGCAACAACCAAAACAAAUACAGGCACACAACGUGCACGCACCGAUGGAGAAACAGAAAAACACUCCUCAACUAAGCCUGUACCUAGCAAAGAGAAUAGCAGUUUCUUUGAAGCGACUUGGGCAUUAAAUAUCGAAACGCCUUCUUUGUUGAUAGUUGCCAAAGUGCUGCCAUAUUUAAGCAACUCUCGACAAAGUCUCCCGUUUCCAUUGAGAUAUGCAAGUAGAAGCGCUGGAAAAGAAGAUGAAAGGUAAAUUAACAGCAGUAGCGGUUGGUGGGCUAAAUAGGCCUGAGACUACAGGUCCAGAGUUUCGAGAGGCCCAUGGUAUCAAGACAAAAUUAGUGUUUGGUUUUUGCUAUUUUGGACUAGUUGAAUGUGCUUACUUUAGACCAAUUAUUCACUUAAAAACCGUACGAGCGAUUGAAUACUGAGGGGAAAUGGUUUUCGUAUUGUCAAACUCAUGAUGUAAUGAGUUUCCGAUUUCUCUGAUCAUGUCGAUGAUUUUUGAAAGUUCAAACUCUUAAUCGAAUUACAAACACAAGAAUGGAGAUGCAAAAGCAAAAGAACGUGGAGAAGACAAAAGUCUUGAAGAGACUGUACUUAGUGGGAGGAAUGGACGUCACUUAAUGGCUCGUAACAUUAUCUUAGCCUACAGGUCCCGUAACUAAUAAUCCGCCAUUGGUUAAUACAUUGGGAUGUAAAAAUGUCCUCAAUUAACGUUUAAGGAAAAUUAUAAAGCACAAGUUCAAAUAUU